AGAGUUUGAUCCUGGCUCAGAUUGAACGCUGGCGGCAGGCCUAACACAUGCAAGUCGAGCGGUAGCACAGAGAGCUUGCUCUCGGGUGACGAGCGGCGGACGGGUGAGUAAUGUCUGGGAAACUGCCUGAUGGAGGGGGAUAACUACUGGAAACGGUAGCUAAUACCGCAUAACGUCGCAAGACCAAAGUGGGGGACCUUCGGGCCUUAUGCCAUCAGAUGUGCCCAGAUGGGAUUAGCUGGUAGGUGGGGUAACGGCUCACCUAGGCGACGAUCCCUAGCUGGUCUGAGAGGAUGACCAGCCACACUGGAACUGAGACACGGUCCAGACUCCUACGGGAGGCAGCAGUGGGGAAUAUUGCACAAUGGGCGCAAGCCUGAUGCAGCCAUGCCGCGUGUGUGAAGAAGGCCUUCGGGUUGUAAAGUACUUUCAGCGAGGAGGAAGGCAUUAAGGUUAAUAACCUCAUCGAUUGACGUUACCCGCAGAAGAAGCACCGGCUAACUCCGUGCCAGCAGCCGCGGUAAUACGGAGGGUGCAAGCGUUAAUCGGAAUUACUGGGCGUAAAGCGCACGCAGGCGGUCUGUCAAGUCGGAUGUGAAAUCCCCGGGCUCAACCUGGGAACUGCAUUCGAAACUGGCAGGCUAGAGUCUUGUAGAGGGGGGUAGAAUUCCAGGUGUAGCGGUGAAAUGCGUAGAGAUCUGGAGGAAUACCGGUGGCGAAGGCGGCCCCCUGGACAAAGACUGACGCUCAGGUGCGAAAGCGUGGGGAGCAAACAGGAUUAGAUACCCUGGUAGUCCACGCUGUAAACGAUGUCGAUUUGGAGGUUGUGCCCUUGAGGCGUGGCUUCCGGAGCUAACGCGUUAAAUCGACCGCCUGGGGAGUACGGCCGCGAGGUUAAAACUCAAAUGAAUUGACGGGGGCCCGCACAAGCGGUGGAGCAUGUGGUUUAAUUCGAUGCAACGCGAAGAACCUUACCUGGUCUUGACAUCCACAGAACUUUCCAGAGAUGGAUUGGUGCCUUCGGGAACUGUGAGACAGGUGCUGCAUGGCUGUCGUCAGCUCGUGUUGUGAAAUGUUGGGUUAAGUCCCGCAACGAGCGCAACCCUUAUCCUUUGUUGCCAGCGGUCCGGCCGGGAACUCAAAGGAGACUGCCAGUGAUAAACUGGAGGAAGGUGGGGAUGACGUCAAGUCAUCAUGGCCCUUACGACCAGGGCUACACACGUGCUACAAUGGCAUAUACAAAGAGAAGCGACCUCGCGAGAGCAAGCGGACCUCAUAAAGUAUGUCGUAGUCCGGAUUGGAGUCUGCAACUCGACUCCGUGAAGUCGGAAUCGCUAGUAAUCGUAGAUCAGAAUGCUACGGUGAAUACGUUCCCGGGCCUUGUACACACCGCCCGUCACACCAUGGGAGUGGGUUGCAAAAGAAGUAGGUAGCUUAACCUUCGGGAGGGCGCUUACCACUUUGUGAUUCAUGACUGGGGUGAAGUCGUAACAAGGUAGCC
Molecule: ribosomal RNA, 1501 nt
Filed under: uncultured bacterium
Lineage: Bacteria
Description: bacterial SSU rRNA
Rfam family: Bacterial small subunit ribosomal RNA
Source: RNAcentral